CACGUAGGCGGACCGGAAAGUUGGGGGUGAAAUCCCGGGGCUCAACCCCGGAACUGCCUUCAAAACUAUCGGUCUGGAGUUCGAGAGAGGUGAGUGGAAUCCCGAGUGUAGAGGUGAAAUUCGUAGAUAUUCGGAGGAACACCAGUGGCGAAGGCGGCUCACUGGCUCGAUACUGACGCUGAGGAGCGAAAGCGUGGGGAGCGAACA
This 207-nucleotide ribosomal RNA is filed under the name uncultured bacterium. RNAcentral's name for it is "partial 16S ribosomal RNA". It matches the Rfam family "Bacterial small subunit ribosomal RNA", at positions 568 to 774 of the family's 1533-position model. The record is from RNAcentral.